Long non-coding RNA from Mangifera indica (mango), 911 nucleotides. RefSeq lists it as uncharacterized. The record is from RefSeq and is a predicted model, not a curated record. The transcript has 2 exons. NCBI's taxonomy places the organism in Eukaryota, Viridiplantae, Streptophyta, Magnoliopsida, Sapindales, Anacardiaceae.
AAAAGCUGUCAUCAAUCCACAAGUUCUCUUCCUCUUUUGUAAAAACUCUGUGGAAACUUCAAUUUCAUUCGCACAGACAGGUUGUCACUGAGACUGACUCAAAAAUCGUUACGCUUUCAACCAUCGGCCUGAGCACAAUGGCAUAUUUUCUGGAUCCCUAGAGUGUAGCAUUACUGGCACGAAGGAAAAUUUUAACCUUCGUCUCUAUGGUAUAAGAACGUUGAAUGUAUGUACUAUGUAAGAUGCUGUUAGUUUAAGCUUUCAUAAUUUGAAUUUAUUUUCUGUCAUGUUCACAUUGUUUUGUUUUGUUUUAGUGUUUUUCGAGCCGGUGGGCAAUAUAUUUGGGCUGUUUUUGGGCUGUGGUUUCAAGGUAUAGAGAGAAAAAAGUAAGUUUUAUUCAAAAAGAUUGUUGGGCUCGAUGCAUACAUCUGUCCAUUUCUUUUCACUCUUUAGUUUCUCUUCUGCAGAAACUGUUAUCAAUCUUCAGGUUCUCUUCCUCUUUUAUUAAUCUUCUGCAGACUACUCGCACAUAAGAGUUGUCACUAAGACUUUCUAAAGAAUCAUAACGCUACCAACCAUUGACCUCUUAUAUCUUAAAAAUGGGUAAGAAUCUCUUAGCUUUCUUCACUACUUUCUUUGCAUGCACUUUUAAACGUGGGGUUUAAACAUACAAACAAGAACCCUGAUAAUGUUUAGUAUGCUAUUGAAAGAUCCAACUGGAUGUAGAAGAAGCGCUGAAUCAAAGAAGUUCAUUCGGCAAAACUUACAGAACAUAUGAAUUUAGAAAUAAAUGUGAAGAUUGCAUUUUCUAGAGUAUUUUAAAACUAUAUGAUUUGAUAUGUGAUCAUCUUGUGGCUCUGGUUAUUUGACAUUGUUCUACCUCUAUUGCAACUUUAAGUAUUAUGUUUAAA